Molecule: long non-coding RNA, 236 nt
Filed under: Vigna radiata
Lineage: Eukaryota; Viridiplantae; Streptophyta; Magnoliopsida; Fabales; Fabaceae
Description: long non-coding RNA (VRAD_LNC014057)
Source: RNAcentral
UUCUGGGGGCGACUCAGAAGAUUGCACCAACGUAACAUGAACUGGGUCUUGAUGAACCUGCUCACUGACCCGACCGGUACCGAUAACCUCAUCAGAAUGGACCACCACCAUCACAACGUCCGCCUGAGGUACGACAGUCAGUAUCUUAGUGUUUGGCGCAUGACUCGAGGCGGCGAAGGGACGAUCGAUACCCUUCGAACUACCGCUCCCCUUCCGUCGCUGAGUGGAAGCAAACC